This 848-nucleotide ribosomal RNA is filed under the name Neohelicascus elaterascus. RNAcentral's name for it is "LSU rRNA". It matches the Rfam family "Eukaryotic large subunit ribosomal RNA", at positions 74 to 935 of the family's 3401-position model. The record is from RNAcentral. Lineage: Eukaryota; Fungi; Ascomycota; Dothideomycetes; Pleosporales; Morosphaeriaceae.
AUUGCCCUAGUAACGGCGAGUGAAGCGGCAAUAGCUCAAAUUUAAAAUCUGGCUCUGCUCUAGGGUCCGAGUUGUAAUUUGUAGAGGGUGCUUUGGCACUGAUGGCGGUCUAAGUUCCUUGGAACAGGACAUCACAGAGGGUGAGAAUCCCGUAUGUGGUCGCUGAUCUUUGCCGUGUAAAGCCCCUUCAACGAGUCGAGUUGUUUGGGAAUGCAGCUCUAAAUGGGAGGUAAAUUUCUUCUAAAGCUAAAUAUUGGCCAGAGACCGAUAGCGCACAAGUAGAGUGAUCGAAAGAUGAAAAGCACUUUGGAAAGAGAGUCAAAAAGCACGUGAAAUUGUUGAAAGGGAAGCGCUUGCCGCCAGACUUGCCUGCAGUUGCUCACCUAGGCGUUCAGCCUGGGGCACUCUUCUGCAGGCAGGCCAGCAUCAGUUUGGGCAGCCGGAUAAAGGUCUCUGACACGUUCCUACCUUUGUGUAGGCCAUAUAGGGGAGACGUCAUGCGGUUAGCCUGGACUGAGGUCCGCGCAUUGCUAGGAUGCUGGCGUAAUGGCUGCAAGCGGCCCGUCUUGAAACACGGACCAAGGAGUCUAACAUCUAUGCGAGUGUUUGGGUGUCAAGCCCGAGCGCGCAAUAAACGUGAACGGAGGUGGGAACCCUCUUUGGGGGUGCACCAUCGACCGAUCCUGAUGUCUUCGGAUGGAUUUGAGUAAGAGCAUAGCUGUUGGGACCCGAAAGAUGGUGAACUAUGCUUGAAUAGGGUGAAGCCAGAGGAAACUCUGGUGGAGGCUCGCAGCGGUUCUGACGUGCAAAUCGAUCGUCAAAUUUGGGCAUAGGGGCGAAAGACUAAU